This is a non-coding RNA of Pseudopodoces humilis (Tibetan ground-tit), 285 nucleotides long. The record is from RefSeq and is a predicted model, not a curated record. NCBI's taxonomy places the organism in Eukaryota, Metazoa, Chordata, Aves, Passeriformes, Paridae.
CCGGACCCCCCAAAACCCGGCCCCGCUCCUUCAGCCUCUCCCUGCCCUGGCCCCGCCGCUCCUCGCUGCGCCCCACAGACCCCCCCGAGGAGGCGCAGGGUGUGGAGGACGAGGUCUUUGACACCCACCUGUGACAGGGUCCCCGAGCCUCCGGCCCCUCCUGACCCGGCGCCCCCCCCUCACCCCAUGGAUUUUUGGGGGGGGGUUGGGGGGUCCCGGACACCCCGGGCUCCCCCCCCCCGAGGAUUUUGGGGGUCGGGGGCGGGGCUGUGCUUGUCCCGUGGG